CAAGGCGUAGCUACAAGACAUAAAGCAUUCAGCUUACACCUGAAAGAUACCUCAAAUAUAAGGUCGCCUUGA
This 72-nucleotide transfer RNA is filed under the name Pternistis swainsonii (Swainson's spurfowl). RNAcentral describes it as "tRNA-Val". Lineage: Eukaryota; Metazoa; Chordata; Aves; Galliformes; Phasianidae. The record is from RNAcentral.